GCAGGUCUGGAUACUACUUGCAUCUCACCCCUGGUGAGGGUUCCCCUAAGCUGGCCGGGCCUCCAAGAGGGCCUUCUGCCCAGCACGUAGCCCACCACUCCUCCCACACACGUGAGCCAGCCAUACCCUGGCAGGCCCUGCCACCUUCUCUGAACUGAUUCAGCCUGGUAAGGCCUCCAAGAGCGCUGGGAACAACAGACGCGCAGACCUGCGGACAGACAGGAGACAGGGGUAGGGGCUGCGCGCUCAGCGGGCUCACAGGGACUCCGUUCCCUUUUCUGAGUCUAGGCCCUGCUCACCCAAUGUUUUCCUCCCCUACCUCCCCCGCACCCCAGCCGCCAUUUCUUUCCAGGCCUCGGGCACCAAACCAGGAUGCUUCCAAACUGCGUUUGCCUCUUUGUGCCCCUUCCCCCGGAGGCAACCUGUCUCAGCGCCACCCCGUUUUUGCGGAGGUCAGAUGUUUCCAUGGGAGCGGAUUGUGAGAGGGGGUUAUUUCCAGAAUAAGUCUGUGUUUCACUGUCGCACUGCGGGGUCGCUACCCCCAGCCCCCCAUUUCCAGCACUAAAAUGGAUGGAGGGCUCAGUGCAAGGGGCGUCGAGAAGGCGAGCCAGUAAACACCGAUGACUCCCAGAUCUACAGCUCCAGGCUGUUCCCUUCUCCGUGUCUCAUAUCAGCUUUGCCAACUGUUUAUUGGACAUCACCGCCUGAGUAUCCCUGAGGGACACGAUUAUCCUGUUUGGAGUGUAUUGAACUUCUUGGAUACAUCGAUUAGUGUCUUUCCUCAAGUUUGAGUAAUUUGCAGUCAUUUUUCCUUUGAAAAUUCUUUCUUCUCUAUUCUGUUUCUCUCCUUGUUGAACCCCCAUCAUGCAUAGGUGUGCUCUGUUCAUUUUUCACAUUACUUUUAUUUUUCUGCUCCUCGGACUGAAUAAUCUCAAUUGACCUAUUUUAAGUUCACUGAUUCUUUUGCCUGCCCAAACCUACUGUUGUACCCCUCUAGUGACUUUUAGUUAUUGUACUUUUCAAAUAAAGAAUUUCUAUUUAUUUUAUAAUUUCUACAUCUCUUUGUAUUUUUACAUCUUUACUGAUAUUGUGUAUUUGCUGAGACAUUCUUCUCUUUUUCUUUAGUCCUUUGUUUACGAUUUCCUUUAGUUCUUCGAGCAUAUAUAAGACAGUUGAUUAAAAAUAUUUUCUAGAUAUUCUAAUACACGGGCUUUUUCAUGAUAGUAUCUAAUUAUUUCUUUCCUGUGUAUGGGCUAUGUUUUCUUAUUUCCUUAUAUGCCUCACAAAGUUUUGUUGAAAUCUGUAUAUUUUGAUUCUAAUAUGUUGACUCUGGAAAUUAGAUUUUCCCUCUUCCUUGGGUUUUGUUGUUACUCUCUCGUGG
Molecule: long non-coding RNA, 1381 nt
Filed under: Homo sapiens (human)
Lineage: Eukaryota; Metazoa; Chordata; Mammalia; Primates; Hominidae
Description: HSALNT0408279
Source: RNAcentral